Molecule: ribosomal RNA, 253 nt
Filed under: uncultured prokaryote
Description: partial 16S ribosomal RNA
Rfam family: Bacterial small subunit ribosomal RNA
Source: RNAcentral
ACGAAGGGGGCUAGCGUUGCUCGGAAUCACUGGGCGUAAAGGGUGCGUAGGCGGGUCUUUAAGUCAGGGGUGAAAUCCUGGAGCUCAACUCCAGAACUGCCUUUGAUACUGAAGAUCUUGAGUUCGGGAGAGGUGAGUGGAACUGCGAGUGUAGAGGUGAAAUUCGUAGAUAUUCGGAAGAACACCAGUGGCGAAGGCGACUUACUGGACGAUUGUUGACGCUGAGGUGCGAAAGCGUGGGGAGCAAACAGGA